RNAcentral lists this ribosomal RNA (392 nucleotides) under uncultured bacterium. Its description in RNAcentral is "bacterial SSU rRNA". It matches the Rfam family "Bacterial small subunit ribosomal RNA", at positions 30 to 418 of the family's 1533-position model. The record is from RNAcentral.
AUUUGAACGCUGGCGGAAUGCUUUACACAUGCAAGUCGAACGGCAGCACGGGGCAACCUGGUGGCGAGUGGCGAACGGGUGAGUAAUACAUCGGGAACGUGCCCAAUCGUGGGGGAUAACGUAGCGAAAGUUACGCUAAUACCGCAUACGAUCUACGGAUGAAAGCGGGGGAUCGCAAGACCUCGCGCGAAUGGAGCGGCCGAUGUCAGAUUAGGUAGUUGGUGGGGUAAAAGGCUUCACCAAGCCAACGAUCUGUAGCUGGUCUGAGAGGACGACCAGCCACACUGGAACUGAGACAACGGUCCCAAGGACUCCUACGGAGGCAGCAGUGGGAAUUUGGACAAUGGGCGCAAGCCUGAUCCAGCCGAUUCCGCGUGCAGGAUGAAGGCCUC